Long non-coding RNA from Odocoileus virginianus texanus, 2175 nucleotides. RefSeq lists it as uncharacterized. Lineage: Eukaryota; Metazoa; Chordata; Mammalia; Artiodactyla; Cervidae. The record is from RefSeq and is a predicted model, not a curated record.
AAGGCCUGAAAAACUGAGGGGACCCCCUCCCUGCACCUUCUCUCAGGGGACACACGCCCUAGAGUUCAGCAGGGCUUGGCUGUGCGAGGGUGGUGUGCUGGUGGAGGGCUGAGCAGAAAAGACCUUGGGAAAUUCUUUUUAUGCUUGUCCUCAGGCACGGCUAAAGGGACAAGACCCCACCAGGUGGGUGAGGCGCCCACAUCCAACCCAGCGGUUGACCACACACCGCACUAGGCCUCACCUCUGGGGAAGGUCACACGGCUCAGGACCUUGGAGGCGAACCCUCUGCUGCCUCCUGGAACGGCUCCUCGGCCCUUGGGGGCUCAGCCUCCCCCUGGUUCAGAACAAUGACUGUUAACCAGGGCGGAUGGAUGGAAGGCUGGGCUCCUGGAGCAACAUUGGUGGGAAGAUUCUUCUGAAACAAACACUCAGGUUCUCAGAAGGUGGAACGAAAUUGGCCCUAGCUUCAUCAUGGCUGACUCCCACCCAUGGAGGACCCUGCGGCAGGAAAGGGAGGAAGGAGAUCCCAGUGCUGGGGGUUUAGCUUCUGCAGAUGCUGUCCUGAGGGCAGGCAAUCCCAGGGCAUUCAAGGUCACAGUGGAGGUCAUCCAGAGGCCUGACUUCAGGGGACAGGAUUACGAGCCUUUUUUUGAAAAUCUCUCAGCCCGCUUCCCUCUGUCCUCCAGCUCCCAAGGACUCAGGUCACAAAGAAACACAGAAGAGCAAGUCACCCGUGGGGUCGGUGCCCAACGCCCGCCGGGCCAGCCAGAGUGCAGCCCGCCAAGGUUGGAGCUCUCCGAGAAGGGCAGAGCAGGAGGUGACGGAGGGCCGGUCUCCAGGCUCAGGGGAGGGGCCACGGACAGGCUGGGGGCAGUGUGCUGAACAGUAGCCUGAGUCUGGUCCUGUACAAGUGACCUCUCUGAGCAUGGGGCCUGGUGCACAGGGGCCUGUGGGCCACGCCAGAGCUGGCUGAUGCUCGCCGGGCACCCGCAGACUACCGACCGCAUCAUCCAGAAGGACGGAGGAACUGGCUGCACUGGACCUGUGAGGGAGAGGUACCGGGGGCACCCACUGAGUGGAUGGGCUCUGCCCAAGCCCAGAUAGCCUGCCGGCCUUGGAAGGAGAACGGACUUUGUAAAGAGGGGACCCCCUGGGCCUGAAGGUGUAAAGUACAGCUUUUAGGAAAUACGCAGCUGCCUUGCUGCAGGCCAGCACACUGGCAACACCCAAACUCCAGCCAGGCAUCUUUCAGCCAAUCUGCCAGAGGUUUGGCCAGAGGAACCAACCAAACACAGACCCUCAGGCCCAUCAUAGCACCAGAGGGCAGACACGGGCUGGACACCGGCUCCAAGGACCGUAGUGACCAGGACUCAGUCCACAUGGCAUGUUUCCUAAGGGAGGGGUCUUGGCCUCUAGGGUCUUCUUCUGCACCUAGACUUGCCCAGUGCACGAGACCAGCUGAAGACCAGCCGAGCUUUUUAAAGUAAGUUUUCAUGUAAAUAAUUCAGAUAAGUGAGAAAAGUCCCCAUUCUCACCUCGAAAAUGAAGAUUACCCAGAUCUCCCUGGUGAGCGGGGUAAAGUCGACUUCUGUUUCAGCAGAGCUGAGGGUCAGGACUGGUGGGGGGCGGCUGGUGCAAGCAGGGCUGGUCACCCGAGUGCGUUUUGCUGGCCCUUCUGGCCAGAGGCGCUGACGGAGCCGCAGGGUCACAGGGCUGGAGGGGAGGCAGGCCCGCGUCCUUCUGACCCAGUGACAAAGAGCCACAGAAACCAAGACAGGCAGAACCGCGUGCGUUCCUCUUGCAGAUGCCUGUCUGCGCUCCUUCUCCAGAGUGUCUAAGUACCAGGCGUUGCCCGGGAAGUGCUGGCUUAUCUGCACCGCCACUGGGCUGGGCGUCUUGGUCUCUGGGCCAGUCCUCAAGUGCGUGGGCUCCCAGCUCCCAAACUCAAUCAUCAAAGGCAGACAUAGCUCUCUCCUGGGCCCUCAUGAGUCCUGCAUGCUUCCACCUUUUAAGAGGCUGCCAGGCUGUCCACGUCCACGCGAGGCUGGAUUGUACAUCCACUUACCAUAUUCACAGCCCUCUCUUCCUCAGGGGAAUUUACCACUCAUAUAGCUUUAAGAAAAAUAUACAAAAAUAUGGGAUUCCCUUGUAGCUCAGCUGGUAAAGAAUCCACCU